ACACAUGCAAGUCGAGCGCACCUUCGGGUGAGCGGCGGACGGGUUAGUAACGCGUGGGAACGUGCCCAGAUCUAAGGAAUAGCCACUGGAAACGGUGAGUAAUACCUUAUACGCCCUUCGGGGGAAAGAUUUAUCGGAUUUGGAUCGGCCCGCGUUAGAUUAGGUAGUUGGUGGGGUAAUGGCCUACCAAGCCUACGAUCUAUAGCUGGUUUUAGAGGAUGAUCAGCAACACUGGGACUGAGACACGGCCCAGACUCCUACGGGAGGCAGCAGUGGGGAAUCUUAGACAAUGGGGGAAACCCUGAUCUAGCCAUGCCGCGUGAGUGACGAAGGCCUUAGGGUCGUAAAGCUCUUUCGCCAUGGAUGAUAAUGACAGUACCUGGUAAAGAAACCCCGGCUAACUCCGUGCCAGCAGCCGCGGUAAUACGGAGGGGGUUAGCGUUGUUCGGAAUUACUGGGCGUAAAGCGCGCGUAGGCGGAUUGGAAAGUUGGGGGUGAAAUCCCAGGGCUCAACCCUGGAACUGCCUCCAAAACUCCCAGUCUAGAGUUCGAGAGAGGUGAGUGGAACUCCGAGUGUAGAGGUGAAAUUCGUAGAUAUUCGGAAGAACACCAGUGGCGAAGGCGGCUCACUGGCUCGAUACUGACGCUGAGGUGCGAAAGUGUGGGGAGCAAACAGGAUUAGAUACCCUGGUAGUCCACACCGUAAACGAUGAAUGCCAGUCGUCGGCAAGUAUACUUGU
RNAcentral lists this ribosomal RNA (740 nucleotides) under uncultured bacterium. RNAcentral's name for it is "bacterial SSU rRNA". It matches the Rfam family "Bacterial small subunit ribosomal RNA", at positions 51 to 840 of the family's 1533-position model. The record is from RNAcentral.